Molecule: ribosomal RNA, 613 nt
Filed under: Photobacterium damselae
Lineage: Bacteria; Pseudomonadati; Pseudomonadota; Gammaproteobacteria; Vibrionales; Vibrionaceae
Description: partial 23S ribosomal RNA
Rfam family: Bacterial large subunit ribosomal RNA
Source: RNAcentral
AUCUAGCCAUGGGCAGGUUGAAGAUUGAGUAACAUCAAUUGGAGGACCGAACCGACUAAUGUUGAAAAAUUAGCGGAUGACUUGUGGCUAGGGGUGAAAGGCCAAUCAAACUCGGAGAUAGCUGGUUCUCCCCGAAAGCUAUUUAGGUAGCGCCUCGGACGAAUACUACUGGGGGUAGAGCACUGUUAAGGCUAGGGGGUCAUCCCGACUUACCAACCCUUUGCAAACUCCGAAUACCAGUAAGUACUAUCCGGGAGACACACGGCGGGUGCUAACGUCCGUCGUGAAGAGGGAAACAACCCAGACCGCCAGCUAAGGUCCCAAAGUUAUAGCUAAGUGGGAAACGAUGUGGGAAGGCUCAGACAGCCAGGAUGUUGGCUUAGAAGCAGCCAUCAUUUAAAGAAAGCGUAAUAGCUCACUGGUCGAGUCGGCCUGCGCGGAAGAUUUAACGGGGCUAAGCUAUACACCGAAGCUGCGGCAAUGUGCUUAUGCACAUUGGGUAGGGGAGCGUUCUGUAAGCCGUUGAAGGUGCAUUGUAAAGUGUGCUGGAGGUAUCAGAAGUGCGAAUGCUGACAUGAGUAACGACAAAGGGAGUGAAAAACUCCCUCGCCGG